AUUUUCUGCCACCGAAUACAUUAGCAUGGGAUAAUGGAAUAGGACCCUGUCCUCCUAUUUUCAGUUGGUUUUGGCAGCGCGAGGACUAGGGUAAUGAUUAAUAGGGAUAGUUGGGGGCAUUAAUAUUUAAUUGUCAGAGGUGAAAUUCUUGGAUUUAUGAAAGAUUAACUUCUGCGAAAGCAUCUGCCAAGGAUGUUUUCAUUAAUCAAGAACGAAAGUUAGGGGAUCGAAGACGAUCAGAUACCGUCGUAGUCUUAACCAUAAACGAUGCCGACCAGCGAUUAGGAGACGUUGAAUACAAAACACCACCAUCGGCGCGGUCGUCCCUGGCUCGUCGUCUCACGACGGCGGGCGGGGGCGGYUUAGCCCGAUGGCACCGGUGAAUGACUCCCCUAGC
Molecule: ribosomal RNA, 397 nt
Filed under: Acanthamoeba genotype T4
Lineage: Eukaryota; Discosea; Longamoebia; Acanthamoebidae
Description: SSU rRNA
Rfam family: Eukaryotic small subunit ribosomal RNA
Source: RNAcentral